This 253-nucleotide ribosomal RNA is filed under the name uncultured bacterium. Its description in RNAcentral is "partial 16S ribosomal RNA". It matches the Rfam family "Bacterial small subunit ribosomal RNA", at positions 524 to 776 of the family's 1533-position model. The record is from RNAcentral.
CACGUAGGGGACGAGCGUUGUCCGGAUUCAUUGGGCGUAAAGCGCGCGUAGGCGGCUCGGAAAGUCGGUCGUGAAAUGCCGGGGCUCAACCCCGGGACUGCGUCCGAUACUCCCGAGCUGGAGGCAGGUAGGGGAGAUCGGAAUUCCUGGUGUAGCGGUGAAAUGCGUAGAUAUCUGGAGGAACACCGGUGGCGAAGGCGGCAUCCUGGACCGGCAUUGACGCUGAGGCGCGAAAGCCAGGGGAGCAAACGGG